This 193-nucleotide ribosomal RNA is filed under the name uncultured bacterium. RNAcentral describes it as "partial 16S ribosomal RNA". It matches the Rfam family "Bacterial small subunit ribosomal RNA", at positions 337 to 523 of the family's 1533-position model. The record is from RNAcentral.
UCCUACGGAGGCAGCAGUAGGGAAUCUUCCGCAAUGGGCGAAAGCCUGACGGAGCAACGCCGCGUGAGUGAUGAAGGUCUUCGGAUCGUAAAACUCUGUUAUUAGGGAAGAACAAAUGUGUAAGUAACUGUGCACGUCUUGACGGUACCUAAUCAGAAAGUCACGGCUAACUACGUGCCAGCAGCCGCGGUAG